UGUUGAUCUCAGCCACACAAACACAAAUUUGAACCAAGAGAGAUCAGCAUGGCCCCAGUGUAAGAAUGACAUGCAAAUUCCUGUUUGACAAUUAUUU
Molecule: small nuclear RNA, 97 nt
Organism: Cricetulus griseus (Chinese hamster)
Lineage: Eukaryota; Metazoa; Chordata; Mammalia; Rodentia; Cricetidae
Source: Ensembl